UAGUAAUUUAUAAUUUGAAUUAUCGACAAAUAUUUUUGUUGGUAACUUGUUUGACGACAGAUUUUGUCAAUAGUUUAUAACUCUUAUUAUCGACAAAGUUUUUCAUUGUUAAAUUGAGUGGUAAAUUUUUUUUCAAGUUUAAUGAUAUAUUUUAUAUAUUAAAGGAAGAUGGGUCAAAAGAAUAAGAGAACAAGAGAAAGAAGAGGAAGAAGAGAAGGAUAACUUGAAACUGGUGUAAAAGUGUGACGAUGACUUAGUGAUACAAUAAUAAUAACAAGUCUCGACAACAAUGGAGGGGUUUGAUGAAAGUGGGAACCAAAAUUUAAAGACAAUGAUAAGGAAGAAGAAAAGAAGAAUAAGAGAAAGAAAAAGAAAAAAAGAAGAGGAAAGAAGGAGAGAAGGAAGAAGACAAAAACGAAAAAAAAAGAGAUAAAAAAAAGAAAAAAAGAAAAAAAGAACUCAAUCGUAAUUUUCAUCGAUGAUUAAAAUUUGUUGAUAAUUUAUCAACAAAUAUAUAUUAACUAAUUUAUCAACAAAUUUAUAAUAAUUGAUAAUUAUCGACAAAUUUCUAAAUUUACAAAUAAAAUUUAUCCAUGAAUAUUAUUUAAUAAAUUAUAAUCUUCUAAUUCAUCAAUAAACUUAAAUUUCUAUAAGGCUUUUUACUAUUAAUAAAGGAUAGUAAUAUAGUAUAUAUAUGUAGAGCAGGAU
This 708-nucleotide long non-coding RNA is filed under the name Vigna radiata. RNAcentral describes it as "long non-coding RNA (VRAD_LNC000294)". The record is from RNAcentral. Lineage: Eukaryota; Viridiplantae; Streptophyta; Magnoliopsida; Fabales; Fabaceae.